RNAcentral lists this ribosomal RNA (1689 nucleotides) under Triticum aestivum (bread wheat). RNAcentral describes it as "partial small subunit ribosomal RNA". Lineage: Eukaryota; Viridiplantae; Streptophyta; Magnoliopsida; Poales; Poaceae. The record is from RNAcentral.
AUGGCGGCCACCUCCACCUCGGCCUCCCCCGCCCCCGCCGCCGACGACCUCCACGCCUUCCUCCGCCGCGGCCUCCGCUCCCGCGGCGCCGUGCUCCGCGCGCACGCCUUCCUCCUCCGCCGCGGCCUCCUCCUCGGCCACCCCGUCCCCUCGGGCCUCCUCCUCUCCGCCGCCGCCGCCUCCACCACCACCGCCACCUCCGCCACCCACCUCGUGCGCCUCCUCCUCCGCCACCUGCCCCCGCCGCUCCCGCUCUUCUCCCUCUCGGCCGCCCUCCGCGCCGUCGCCCCGCGCGUGCCCUUCUCCGCGCUGCUCUCCCUCUUCGCCCACCUCCUCCGCGCCCACGCCCCCUCCGGCUUCCCCGACGCCUUCGCCUUCCCGCCGCUGCUCUCCGUGGCCGCCUCCGCGCGCUCCCCGCGCAGCCACCUCCCCGCCGCGCUCGCGCUCCACGCGCAGCUGCUCCGACGCGGCCUGCUCUUCGCGCCGCCGCCCCACGCCGCCAACGCGCUCCUCCAUUUCUACGGCGCCGCCGGCAGCCUCCCCUCCGCGCGCCACCUGUUCGACGAAAUGCCCUUCAGGGACAUCGCGUCCCACAACACCAUGAUGACGGCCCACGCUGCUUCCCUGGGCGGUGGCAUUGAUGCCGCACGCCAGCUGUUCGACGGAAUGCUCCUCAGGAACGUGGUGUCCUGGAACGUCAUGAUCAAUGGGUAUGUGAAGGCGAAGCGGCCCGAGCAGGCGCUGGAGGUGGUGCGGUGGAUGGCGGGGGUCGGGGUCAGGGGCACCGCGACGACCAUGGUCGGGGCGGCCACCGCGUGCGCCAGGCUGGGGAGGCUGGGGUCUGGCAGGGAGGUGCAUUGUGCAUACUUGCGCCGCUUCGAGGAGGAUAACCUCUUGUUUUGGACUUCGCUGGUUGAUAUGUAUGGCAAGUGCCGGAGGGUGGCGGCUGCGAGGAAGGUGUUUGAUCGGCUCAAUGUCCGGAAUGUUGUUUGCUGGAAUGCAAUGAUCAUCGGGCAUUGCGUGUAUGGCGAACCUGCUGACGGGCUUCAGCUGUUCCAUGAGAUGAUUGGACGAGGGAAGAAUGGUUCAGAUAACCAAUGGGUUCUGCGACCAGAUGAAGUCACUUUCAUUGGUGUACUCUGCGCGUGUACCCGUUUAGGUCUCCUGGAUGCUGGGAAGGUAUAUUUCAACCAGAUGACCACGACGUACAGUCUCAGGCCAACAUUUGCACACUAUUGGUGCAUGGCGAAUCUGUAUGGGAGUGUUGGCCUUCUGGAAGAAGCAGAGAGCCUCUUGAAGAGCGUGCCAGAGGAGCUGAAGGCACGUGCAUUGGGUGGUUUGCUUGGGUUGUGCCGAUUCAGAGGGGAAUGGAAACUUGGGGAACGUAUAGCCCUCAGGUUGAUCGAGCUGGAACCAAGCAACUGUGCUCACUAUGCUCUGUUGUGCAGUGUAUAUGCUUCGGCGGGAAGAUGGGAAGAUGCUCACAGGGUGAAGGCUAUCAUAAAGGAAAGCGAUGGGAGGUUCAGUCCUGGACACCGUCUGGUGGAUCUAAAUGAGAUCGCAAGUGAAUUUAAAAUUAGGGAGAGGCAACCUGAGAAUCAGGAAAUAUAUGUUAUCCUGGAUGACUUGGUUUCAAAGCUGCAGUUUACAAGCAGAGAAGAUGUGCAAACUGAACCCGGGAUAAAAUAG